UCCAUAAAAUAAAACCUUCUUCCUUUUAACCUUUCACUGUUGCACUUAGAACUCAAGCUCUACAACUUUCAAUCCCACUUCUCUAUUUAUCUCCUUUUUCUUAAAAUUCCUUCCUUUUCCUUUCACCAUGGUUGCUACUUCAAACUCUACCGAAGGAAGCAACCUUUCUAAUGUUGUCACUGCUACUAAACUCUUGGAGUUUAAUGGAAAGAGAUUAGCUUAUUUUCCAAGCCUACAACCAGAGACAAAGAAGCUCUGGGAGACUCAGUUAAUCAUCCCUUUCUCACUGGCUGAAAAGUCUUGGAGUUUAAUGGAAAGAGAUUUGCUCCUUCUCCAAGCCUAGAAGCAGAGACAAAGAAGCUCUAGGAGAUUCAGCACUGCCUAAGAAAAUUCCAGAGAACCAUGAUGCUUCGAAUGAUGCAAGUAGUGAUGAAGAACCAAAACAAGGCAAAGAAGUCUUCUUCCAAACCAAAGAGCAAUAUUGCCAUUAAGGAUGGAAGUGUGGUGAACAUAUCUUCCUCUCAAGAUCAAGAAGCUAAUAGUGAUCAAGAUUAGGAGCUCAAUGUUGCUUCCAAGAAUCUCAUGGAUCCCAUACCUGAAGAUAUUAUGGUAAAUGUGGUCGAAAUGGAAAUAAAGACAGUAGGGAAUGUGGAUCCACCUUCAAAACCACCAACCGAAUUAGAUGAAGGUAGCAAGAACGAAUUACUCAUAUUCAUAUGCUUUUUAAGAGCUCAAUGUUAUGUCAUUCGAAAAGUCUUUGGUUCUAAAAAGUUUUAUUUCAUCCCAAGAUUCUGAGGAAAGAAGAAGAGAAAUAAGCAACUGCUAAAGAAGACAAAGAAGAAGCAAAUAAUGAACCAGAGUCUUCGAAGAGCCCAACACCUUCCUAAGAAGCACAAGAAAAGGAACAAGCUACCCGUGAAAGUGAAUCUUCUCCUAACAAGACCAUGCAUGAAGAGGGUUAUGUUAACAUGCAAGCUCAAUCUAAUCCUUCAUCCAUUCUUCAAAAAUGCACUCCUACUCAUGUCACUUCAACAAUUCAAUCAAACCCAAUGGAAAAAGAACCUUCGAGCAUUGCUCAUACCAAUAACAAAGCAACAGUUAGAGUUCAAGAGGUCACCAAAAACCCAUUUUUGCUCCUCAAACUUAUUUCGAGUGAUUCGACCAUCUCCAAAGGAUCUGACACCAGUGUGCCAAAGCCUACCUCCAACCAAAUCUUUGAGCAAGCAAUCACAUAUUUUUGAAGGCUAGCAUAUUCUCAAUCUCUUAGGUUAAUCUUGAUAUUCUAUCUUUUUGAGGUUAAUCUUGAUAUUCUUUUCUACAUUGAGGUGAUUAAACUAGUUGAGGAAAUUAAAAAAAUGGAUUUAAAUAUUUUUAUGGUUUUGGUUUAUAGAAGAAAAAAAAUAAACUAAUGCAAAGAGAGAUUUGAGUGAUGAUAAGAGUGACAAUGGGUUAUGAUUCACUAGUACCAAUUUUCUCCUAAUCCCAAUACCAAUGAAAUUCCUUUCCCAGUUAGUUAUUGAUUCUCAAAAUCAACCAAAGCCUAUAAUGAAGGUCAGAGGAUAUUCUUUCCCCUAAAUCAAUACUCCAAUGAUCAUGACUCUAUCAAUUUAAGUCAUAUGAUAUAACUAAUUCUAGGGAUGAUUAAUUAAAUAUUAACUAAUCUAUCGAAGAUUACUCAAAUAGUUUGAUCAUAUAAUUUGGUGUAAAAUAUUCUCUACCUAGAUUUAUCAAUUACAUGUAGAUGAUCAAUUACAUUCUAGGGCAUUCUAGAUUGGCUAUGACCCUCAUGGUAGACCAUGACCCUCAUGAAUUAACCAAGAUCAUGGUGAAUUUAUCAUGGCCUUUGUCGGAUUAUCAACGUUAUUUUGGAGGGUUGCUAUCAUCUUAUUGUAGUUGUGGUAAAUGUACCAUGAUUGCGAUCAAGUGCAGAGUCUUCAAACCUUCAUAAAAUCAUAAAAUUUCCAACUUUUUUUCACUCAAGUGAGCAAUUUUACUUAUGCAACACAAAACCAAUGUCUAAACAUGAGUUAUGCUAAGAAAAUGAAUGCAAAAUGAUAAAAAAAAAAACUCACAAAAUAUCAUUCAAAAAGUGGUUUAUCAACCUCUUCACACUUGAGCAUUGCGUGUCCUCAAGCAAUUAUUCCAAUUCCCAGUCAAAAAAAAUUCUCCUUAGUCAAAACUCAUUCAACAAAAAUUCACAUUUAUUCAACAAGUAAAAAACUCACACAUUAGGCCAUCAAAAACUUUGGAAUCCAUUAGGCAUAUAAUUAACAUGCAAAUUGUCAUAAAGAGCUUGAAUUCCUCUCUUCUCACCAUGUCUUAGUAUUUUAUAGUGUUAUAUAGAUAAACAGUUACACUUAAGAUCACAAUUGAAAGAAAUGACAAGUUCACAACUUUGUAGAUCAAUCAACUCAACUCAAAUAAAUCCAAAAAUUCCAAAUAAGUGAGACAUCUUAGGUUGUAAUGGGUUAGACAUUUAAUGUAAGGUAGGCAUUCAAAGAAACAGGCUAAUAAAGGGUGCCACUCAAUCAUAUGAAAAAACUCAGGAAUUAGGUUAGCUUCUACCUGUUU
Molecule: long non-coding RNA, 2571 nt
Organism: Glycine soja
Lineage: Eukaryota; Viridiplantae; Streptophyta; Magnoliopsida; Fabales; Fabaceae
Exons: 4
Source: RefSeq, a predicted model, not a curated record